This 2475-nucleotide ribosomal RNA is filed under the name activated sludge metagenome. RNAcentral's name for it is "bacterial LSU rRNA". It matches the Rfam family "Bacterial large subunit ribosomal RNA", at positions 3 to 2441 of the family's 2925-position model. The record is from RNAcentral.
UCAAGCUAGAAAGGGCGUACGGCGGAUGCCUAGGCGGUGGGAGGCGAAGAAGGACGUGGACAGCUGCGAUAAGCUCCGGGGAGUCGCUAACAGACAGUAAUCCGGAGAUCUCCGAAUGGGGCAACCCGACAGGGUCAACCUGUCAACCGUUGGUCAAUUCAUAGCCAACGCGUAGCCAACCCAGGGAACUGAAACAUCUAAGUACCUGGAGGAAAAGAAAGCAACAGCGAUUCCCUCAGUAGCGGCGAGCGAACGGGGAACAGCCUAAACCUGUCGACGCGAGUCGGCAGGGGUCGUGGGGCUCGCGCCCUGGGCUUCGGACAAAUAGCUGAACGGUUUGGAACGGCCGGCCAAAGACGGUGAGAGCCCGGUAAGCGUUUGAAAGAAGUCCUAGCGGGUACCCGAGUACCGCAGGACACGUGCAAUCCGGCGGGAAUCCGGGAGGACCAUCUCCCAAGGCUAAAUACUACCCACCGACCGAUAGUGUACAAGUACCGCGAGGGAAAGGUGAAAAGAACCCCGGCGAGGGGAGUGAAAUAGAACCUGAAACCGUACGUCUACAAGCAGUGAAAGCGCUAUGGUCUUCGGACAAUGCGCGAUCACGUACCUUUUGCAUAAUGAGCCUGCGAGUUAUCGUGUGUGGCAAGGUUAAGCCGUAAGGUGGAGCCGAAGCGAAAGCAAGUCUUAACAGGGCGUUCAGUCGCAUGCGAUAGACCCGAAACCUUAGCGAUCUAUCCAUGGCCAGGUUGAAAGGCGGGUAACACCGCUCGGAGGACCGAACUCACUAAGGUUGAAAACUUAGGGGAUGAGCUGUGGAUAGGAGUGAAAGGCUAAUCAAGCUCGGAGAUAGCUGGUUCUCCCCGAAAUAUAUUGAGGUAUAGCCUCGAGUGAAUUGCGCCGGAGGUAGAGCACUGAAUGGGCUAGGGGUCCCACUAGAUUACCAAACCCAAUCAAACUCCGAAUGCCGGUGACAACUGCUCGGGAGUCAGACUGCGGGAGAUAAGUUCCGUAGUCGAGAGGGAAAGAGCCCAGAUCGUCGGCUAAGGUCCCAAAAUCUAUGCUAAGUGUCAAAGGAUGUGGAAGCGCCCUGACAACCAGGAGGUUGGCCUAGAAGCAGCCAUCCUUCAAAGAAAGCGUAAUAGCUCACUGGUCGAGCGAGUCCGCGCCGAAAAUGUAACGGGGCUCAAGCAUAGUACCGAAGCUGCGGGUUCUCGAAAGAGAGCGGUAGGCGAGCAUCGUCAAGGAGAUACACGCCGGACGGAAACGACCGGUACCGGCCUUGACGAGAGCUUAUGCAGGCAUGAGUAGCGUUAAACCGAGUGAGAAACUCUGGUCGCCGUAAGCCCAAGGUUUCCUGGGGAAGGAUAAUCCUCCCAUGGGUUAGUCGGCUCCUAAGCCAAGGCCGAAAGGCGUAGGUGAUGGGAAGCAGGUUAAUAUUCCUGCACCACCAGGGAUGGCGUUGAAGCAAGCAGGGACGGAGAAGGGUAGGCCGGGCGCAGCGUAAGGUCGUCUGCGUUCAAGCCCGUAGGAGGGACCAUUAGGACCCAAUAGGGACAAACGGUGGUUCAUGACUCCGAGAGGUGAUGAGGUCCGGACUUGUCCGGGACACCCGGUGAUCCCAUGCUUCCAAGAAAAGCUGCGUGCAGAGCCCCUCUGGUGACCGUACCGCAAACCGACUCAGGUGGGCGGGGUGAGUAUCCCAAGGCGCGUGAGAGAACCCUGGUUAAGGAACUAGGCAAAAUAACACCGUAACUUCGGGAGAAGGUGUGCCGUUGAUGGUGAAGCCCUCCUCGGGCCGAGCUGUUGGCGGUUGCAGCGAAAUGGGGAUUGUGACUGUUUACUAAAAACAUAGGACUCUGCAAAGUCGAAAGACGACGUAUAGGGUCUGAUGCCUGCCCGGUGCUGGAAGGUUAAGGGGAAGUGUCAGCGCAAGCGAAGCACCCAACCGAAGCCCCAGUAAACGGCGGCCGUAACUAUAACGGUCCUAAGGUAGCGAAAUUCCUUGUCGGGUAAGUUCCGACCUGCACGAAUGGCAUAACAACAUUCCCGCUGUCUCAACCAGGGACUCAGCGAAAUUGCAUAGGGGGUGAAGAUGCCCUCUACCCGCGGCAAGACGGGAAGACCCCAUGAACCUUUACUGCAACUUGGCAGUGAACUUCGGGAUGUUCUGCGUAGGAUAGGUGGGAGGCGUUGAAGCCGGGCUUCCGGGUUCGGCAGAGCCACCGUUGAAAUACCACCCUGAACAUUCUGGGGUUCUAACCUAGGCCCGUGAUCCGGGUCGGGGACACUGCCUGGUAGGCAGUUUGACUGGGGCGGUCGCCUCCAAAAUCGUAACGGAGGCGUGCGAAGGUUCCCUCAGCCUGAUUGGAAACCAGGCGUAGAGUGCAAACGCAUAAGGGAGCUUGACUGUGAGACCGACAGGUCGAGCAGGUGCGAAAGCAGGUCUUAGUGAUCCGGUGGUUCCGAAUGGAAGGG